UGCUAGGCUUGGGGGGAAAAAUGAAAGAGGCGUUGAAAAGCUUUACCCAAUGUGUUUUCAUUGUGUAAAUAAGAAUGAAAUUUUAUGAUCUUCAUGUUUUUAGGUAAGUUAAGGUUUUUGGUUUUUUUUUUUUAGCUAAUUUUUACUAUUUGUCUGGGGGCAUUGAAAAUGAAUUGAGCUUCCUUCCACUGAUUUUGGGAAUCUUAUUGAUUUAAUAACAUGGCAGGAUUUACUUUUGCCAAGGUUCUCUUUCUGGACACUGCUGGGAUGUUUUCUGUGGGUAGUUAGUGGACUUUAGCACCCUACUAACACAGGAUGGCAAAGUUUUGACCAAUAUUUUUUUUGGAAGUACAGAAUAUGCCUUUUCAUAUGAAAUGUUUUCAGAGCAGCUUCCUUCUGCCCUUAUCCACUCAAAUAAAGUUCUGACAUGCAAAUAAAUUUUGCAUUAGCAGAGAUAUAUGACAUCUACAGUUAAGGACUAUGGCCAACCAAUUAUACCCACAUGCCAUUUUCUACUUUUACAAACCCCUGAUAAAAGAGAAAAGUCUUGAAGACAGCAUUUCACACAUAAAAUAUUUCUUUUAUAGCAAAACGUGUCCAACUGAUUUACGAGGUCCUCUCAAGGAGAACAAAACACACACUAUAAAACUGAAACUCACAGAAAGAUUUCCCCAGCUUCUUUAGAAAAAACACACUCAAAUUGCACGGGGUAUAGAUUUUCAUAGUAUAUAAUGUGAAUUCUUCAUGGAAGCUGUGCUUUCAUCCUGGUGAGUUUAUUUAUUUCUAUGGUAGUAUAAUUUUUUUUAAAAAACAAUACAUUUUCUCAAGAUACUUGUCCUUGAAUUAAAGGCAUCACUGGAAAAAUUUGACCCAUAAGUCAGGGAAAUGCAAGGUGCAUUUUGCCUAAUUUGGGACACCUGAAUCAGAAUUGUAGCAGGGUUCAGGGUGGCAGACGAUAGCCCACUGGGCAAACCUGGCAUGCACUGUUUGUGAAAAUAAAACGUUGUUGGAGUCUGGACGGGUCAUUAAGUGCUGUCCGCGGCUGUCUUCCUGCUGAAGUGGUGGAGCUGAGUGGUUCUGAUGGACAUCCGGCCCAUGAAGCUGAAAAGCCUACUGGCCCUUAGUAGAAAACGUUUCCCGAUUCCUGGAUGGAUGGAAAAGGACCAGUCUUUCUGGCAUCAUCAGAAUGUCUUCUGUUUUCCAGGGGCACAUCUGGAGGCCCCAUGGAAUUUUCCUAACCGUCGUGUGGAGUGUGUCAACAAAACGGGACCGUCUGCAUCAGGGCAGUCAUGAAAGGGUCCCCAGCGACCUAAGUCCUUUUAAGUGGAGUACAAUGGACCCAGAUUCCAUGAGAGAAGCCGCCAUGCACAGUGGCACUUGGGAGGAAAAGAAAAACCCUCUCGUUUCCUUAUUACCCGAACACACUGACGAUCCAUUUGUAAAAGACGGCCCAGCCAGCAUCUCCCUCCCUGAGAGGGCGGUGUGUGCUGCUGAAACUCUGAUUACAACUGCUCUUAGGAUGAAGUGACUGGAGCCCAGAUACCUUAUUUAGCAAUCAGUGCUCGGCACAAGGACUUGCUGUGCCAACGAAAAGGAAGCGAGGCAUUUUGGCUAGUCACCGCGUUUUUGCUGCGUCACAGGGAGACAGAAGAUGGGCUGCUAUUUCGUCGGCUAAAUGCUAUCAUUUUAAGCACCGUUCCAAAGAAAACAGGGAUCUUGCCAGAGGAAAAUAACAUAUACCAUAAAGGAAAAAGAAAUGUGCAUCAAGGCAAAUAAACAGCUCUCUACUAAGGGCCUAGGAUCUUGCUAGACGAGUCAUUUCUCUGGUUGAAAAGCAGUUGAGAAAGGCAAGACAAGGGGGGCGGGGGCCCAGCAGGGCACCUCUGAGCCCUUCCUGCUGCUCUUCAAAGACAGACGCAUUUUCCUUUCUACGGUCUCCUUGCAAGUCUUCUGUAGGCCCUGCCACCUUCAGGCUGACUGACUGCCUCCUUCAAAUAUCAGCAUUUGGCUCAGAAGAAAAGCCACGUCUGCCUACACAAUCUCACAAUCCGGCUUCAGCAAAGCAUGAGUUAAUUCAACUUCAUACUCGUGAACGUGAAGCGGGGGUUGGAAGGAAUGAAGGCUGCAGGACACCCAUGUACCAAGAAAAAGAAAGACAAAUUGGUUGUUUUAUCUACUUUACAUCAUGAUGGAGUCCUAAAAAGGGCCCCAUGAAGGCAGGCAGCCCAGGGAGGAAUGACUGGACGGUGACAUUGUGCAGGGGGUCUGGAAGUUGCCAGCGCAGGGGUUAGCAGCUGCAGCCUGGCCUGGUCCUGUCUGCCUGGCUGUCAAACCCAGAAGACCGUGGUUUCUGGUGGCCUCUGUGUGACAGCGGAGGAGGUGGGGCGAGGCCUGGAAGUGAAGCAUCUCGUGAGCCACUUAAGUGUUUAUGAAGCUCGCUAAUGUGCUUAAAUGAACGAGAAGCAGGUACUUGCUCCCAGGACCAGAGCCACCAAAGCAAUUUCCUCUGCAGCCCCUCAUACUUCGCACACUGGAAGCUUGCAUUCUUUCCCAGAGGACAGCCGGAUUACAGCACCGCCUCUAAUGCAACCCGAUCUGGUUUCUUUGAGCGCCGCGGUGAACGUGCAAUCUAUCUCAUAAAUGCAUCGCAGUGUUCCACAAAUCACCCACGUUCAUCCCUUGAGACGUCUUUAACUCGGGGCUUAGAGUUGCAAAUGAAUUCUCCUAUGGAUCUAUUAUUCCAUCAAAUAGCGGAGAGAGGGGACUAGCUUGUGCAGAGCCUUCAUAGAGCUGGGCUAAAUUCGAUUAUGCAAAGUCUAACGAGCACCAUUCAGCAAAACCAUGGUGGGUGUGAGCUGCAGGCCAGCCCCUCCACUGGGCCAUUAUCCAGGGGUAAACACCACUCGUGGGUUAGUUCCACGAGUUACUGGCUGAUUUGACCUGUGAUACUCCAAGGUGGAAGUAACCAAAUAAUAUGUAUCAUGAGCCCCAAGAACGAAGCCAGUGGAGAGUGGUACAUGCUAGAGGGUAACGCCUGGCCCUUUGCAGGACAGCACGUCAGCCAUGCGCCAUGGGACGAUGGUGGUGGCUGGGACACAGGAGGCCACGGCAGGAAAUGGGCAGGUGGGUGGGUCUAUGUAAGCUGGCUUUAGACUUCAAUCCACAAGCAUUUGCAGCUCAACUACUCAGCGUCUUAUCUUAUUUAAUCCUUUCAGCAAUAAACACUCUUUUCACAUGUAGUAAGGUUAAGGAGUCUACAUCACACCCUUUAUCAUUAUUAAUAAAGGGACACACCCUCCAGGGAUCCUAGGGAACCUCCUACCCACCCUGUGGUCACUCUAGGGAAAGGAAAGCUCUCAGGGACCGACGGGAGCCUGGGCACAUGCGCCACCACUCUCUCCUUUAUCCCCUCUAGCCCGGCUUGCUGGCUCUCACUUUCUUUUGUGCACUAGAACUCACGUACAAGUUGCACACCCAAACCCUUGCAUGCUGCAUUUCAGAGUCAACUUCAGUGAUUUUUGAGAGUGAUUUUGACAAUCCCAGUCAAAAUUCUAGCAGGUUUUUUUUUUUUACAUGACAAGUGGAUUCUAAAAUUCAUAGGAAAAUGCAAAUGACCUAGAAGAGCCAAAGCAAUUUUGGAAGGAGUAAAGUCGAAUGGCUGACGCUACCAGAUUUCAAGAUUCACUUGAAACGCACAGGAAUCAAGACAGGGUGGUGUCGACAGAAGGAAGGCGUCAGAGCAGGGUGACAGGAGGCAGGGCCACACACAGACGGCUGAUUGAUACCCGACAAAACCGCCGAGGUAAUUUCACAGGGAAAGGAACUCUUUUGAACAAAUGGUGCACCAACAAUUGGAUAACCAUACGGAAAAAAUUUAAAAAACAGAAGAACAUUGACCCUUCACGCACAUCAAACAUAAAUUAACUCAGAAUCCAUCAUAGGCUGGGUGUUGUGGCUCAUGCCUUUAAUCCUAGCACUUUGGGAGGCCAAGGCAGGCGGAUCACCUGAGGUCAGG
This 4015-nucleotide long non-coding RNA is filed under the name Homo sapiens (human). RNAcentral's name for it is "HSALNT0402273". Lineage: Eukaryota; Metazoa; Chordata; Mammalia; Primates; Hominidae. The record is from RNAcentral.